Molecule: long non-coding RNA, 1539 nt
Filed under: Oryctolagus cuniculus (rabbit)
Lineage: Eukaryota; Metazoa; Chordata; Mammalia; Lagomorpha; Leporidae
Description: lncRNA (ENSOCUG00000033141.1)
Source: RNAcentral
CACGCAGAUACACAGACACCCACACCCUGCAGCCGCACGGAUGCUCACGCGGUGCCUGCACCAACCCGCCCUAGGCGCACAAAGGCGAGCGCUGGGGCCAGAGCCGGCAGCUCGUUGGAGGAAGGCUCCAGGGCGGGCCCGUGCAGCAGGCAAGCUCCGGCCACGUCUCUGCCGGCAGCCCGCUGUCCUGACCCGCCGGGACGCCCCCAGACGCGGCGCCUACGGCUCAGGGAAAGCGGACGGGGUGCCGGGUCCCUCUGGCUGAUCCCACUCUGGGGGCGCUCGGCAACCUUCACCCUCCUCCACCGUUCCCACCGCUCCCCGCGGCUCGCGGGCACCUCGGGAUCGUCCACGUCCCUAGGGGAAAAUCCUCCCAGCGCCAGGAGUCUUCCGAGCCAGCACGGGUCCCACGUAGACAGGCUGGCGCCUGCACUCAGAGACGCACGCGAACACAGACACGCACAGACAGCGGGACGCACGCAGGGGGCACGGACGGGCCCAGGGAGUGUGGCUCCAUUCCUGGCGCGCCUCUGUCUGGGCGGCAGCGGUCCGGUCCCGUGCGAAGCUCUUUUCUGGAGAUCCCGGGUGUGCGGGAGCUGGAUCCGCCGCCGGCAGAGAGACAGGUUCCGGAACGCGCUCGGCGCGGCUUCCCGGCAGCCUGGGCACUCAGGCGUGCGGGAUGGGUGGAGGCGUCGGUCCCCUGUGCUUGCCUCUGGCUUUCUUUUCUUUCCCUUUCCUUUCCUUCUCUUUUUUCUUCUUCUGUCCCUGCUUCCCCGCCCCCUCCCCCUCCUUCCUUUUCUCUUCCUCCUUCCGCCUCUCCCUUCCUCGCCACUUCCCAUUCCGUUCGCCCUUUCUUCAUACCCGCUUUCAUUUCAGAAAACCUUUUUCCUCCCGGUUUCUUUUCUCUUGCGCUUUUCUCCCGGCGUUGCCUGGUGGGCAAGGCUCCUGAGGGCUCCCGAGGGUCGGAGAGGUAGGGUCUGCAGGCGCCGAGCCGUCGGGCGGCACGGGCGCCGGGGCCAGCCGUCGGCGGCGCUCACCUCGCCUCCCUUCCCGUCCGUGUUUCCGCGGCCACGGAGGAGGCUGUGGAUUGCCAGGGAGCGGUGUCCCGGCGGCGGGAGGGGCUCUCGAGAGGAUCCCGGGGCAGGCUGGCCCUGGGUCCGGCCCAGCCAGGCUUCCCCCGGUCCCCGGGCUCCGGGCAUUUCUGCGGAGAGAAGGACGCCCCUGGCUGGCAGACGGUCCCCAACUCCUGCACACGCUCGCGCGCGCCCAGGGGCCUCCCGGACCGGGCUCCUAGGGGCAGCUGCCAGGAACCACUCCGUGCACCCGGCCGGGCACUCGGCCCGCUCGGUGACCCCGAGUCGCAGCUCCUGCCGCCCCGGGCGAGCCCGCUACUCCCUCACGCGCCAUUCCCGUCCCCCGGGCGCGACCUCGGCGGGGCCCUGGAAGGAGCCGCCGGGGGUUUCUAGCGACUCCUUCGCCGCCUUUCAGAUGCAAAACCUCCUUUCUGGGCUCGAGUGUUUUCCAGAGGGGAAACCCUGA